CGUAGGUGGCAAGCGUUGUCCGGAUUUAUUGGGUUUAAAGGGUGCGUAGGCGGCCCUGUAAGUCAGUGCUGAAAUAUCCCGGCUUAACCGGGAGGGUGGCAUUGAUACUGCAGGGCUUGAGUAAAGUUGAGGUAGGCGGAAUUGACGGUGUAGCGGUGAAAUGCUUAGAUAUCGUCAAGAACACCGAUAGUGUAGACAGCUUACUAAGCUUUAACUGACGCUGAGGCACGAAAGUGUGGGGAUCAAACAGGAUUAGAUACCCUGGUAGUCCACGCUGUAAACGUUGAAGACUCGCUGUUGGCGACACACAGUCAGCGGCUGAGAGAAAUCGUUAAGUCUUCCACCUGGGGAGUACGCCGGCAACGGUG
Molecule: ribosomal RNA, 368 nt
Filed under: uncultured organism
Description: bacterial SSU rRNA
Rfam family: Bacterial small subunit ribosomal RNA
Source: RNAcentral